This 468-nucleotide ribosomal RNA is filed under the name uncultured bacterium. Its description in RNAcentral is "partial 16S ribosomal RNA". It matches the Rfam family "Bacterial small subunit ribosomal RNA", at positions 28 to 507 of the family's 1533-position model. The record is from RNAcentral.
GACGAACGCUGGCGGCGUGCUUAACACAUGCAAGUCGAACGGAAAGGCCCUGCUUUUGUGGGGUGCUCGAGUGGCGAACGGGUGAGUAACACGUGAGUAACCUGCCCUUGACUUUGGGAUAACUUCAGGAAACUGGGGCUAAUACCGGAUAGGAGCUCCUGCUGCAUGGUGGGGGUUGGAAAGUUUCGGCGGUUGGGGAUGGACUCGCGGCUUAUCAGCUUGUUGGUGGGGUAGUGGCUUACCAAGGCUUUGACGGGUAGCCGGCCUGAGAGGGUGACCGGCCACAUUGGGACUGCGAGACGGCCCAGACUCCUACGGGGGGCAGCAGUGGCGAAUAUUGCACAAUGGGCGGAAGCCUGAUGCAGCAACGCCGCGUUCGGGAUGACGUCCUUCGGGUGGUAAACCGCUUUCGCCUGUGACGAAGCGUGAGUGACGGUAAUGGGUAAAGAAGCACCGGCUAACUACGUG